RNAcentral lists this long non-coding RNA (310 nucleotides) under Nicotiana benthamiana. RNAcentral describes it as "long non-coding RNA (NBEN_LNC041566)". Lineage: Eukaryota; Viridiplantae; Streptophyta; Magnoliopsida; Solanales; Solanaceae. The record is from RNAcentral.
CCCUGUCCACCCUUAUUACCUCUGCCACCCUUUUCACCACAACCUGCCACCUUAUAACACUGUGUUGCGGCAUGACACCCGACCCCACUGUACAAUUUCAGUUCACAACAAUCACAACCAAAUAGCAAAUCAUAAAGAUAAACAACAAUCAAUUCACAAACAAGAAGAGCAACAACAAUACUUAUCAAGACACAACCACAACAAUGUUACGAGUGUUUCCAUAGCCUACACUUCCAAUUCCAUUAUAUUCAACAACUCAUAAGCAAUUCAAGCCAUUGCAAUAAUUACCCACAAGAUGCCAAAUAUGUUG